Molecule: ribosomal RNA, 122 nt
Filed under: Bison bison bison
Lineage: Eukaryota; Metazoa; Chordata; Mammalia; Artiodactyla; Bovidae
Source: RNAcentral
AACCGCCACCGUCUCAGCCUGAAGGCGCCCGAUCUCGUCUGAUCUCGGAAGCUAAGCAGGGGUCGGGCCUGGUUAGUAUCUUCGAUGGGAGACCACCUGGGAAUCCCGGGUGCUCGAGGCUU